RNAcentral lists this ribosomal RNA (894 nucleotides) under Hodophilus foetens. Its description in RNAcentral is "LSU rRNA". It matches the Rfam family "Eukaryotic large subunit ribosomal RNA", at positions 73 to 952 of the family's 3401-position model. Lineage: Eukaryota; Fungi; Basidiomycota; Agaricomycetes; Agaricales; Clavariaceae. The record is from RNAcentral.
GAUUCCCCUAGUAACUGCGAGUGAAGAGGGAAGAGCUCAAAUUUAAAAUCUGGCGGUCUCUGGCUGUCCGAGUUGUAAAUUAGAGAAGUGUUAUCCGCUCAAGCCUGUGCAAAAGUCUCUUGGAAAAGGGCAUCAUAGAGGGUGACAAUCCCGUCUUUGGCACAGAUCACUUGCGCUUUUGUGAUGCGCUCUCGAUGAGUCGAGUUGUUUGGGAAUGCAGCUCUAAAUGGGUGGUAAAUUCCAUCUAAAGCUAAAUAUGGGCGAGAAACCGAUAGCGAACAAGUACCGUGAGGGAAAGAUGAAAAGCACUUUGAAAAGAGAGUCAAACAGUAUGUGAAAUUGUUGAAAGGGAAACGCUUGAAGUCAGUCGUAUCCUUCAGAAAUCAACCUGACCUUUGGCUGGGUGCAUUUUUUGUUGGAUGGGUCAGCAUCAAUUUUGAUCAUUGGAUAAAGGACUUGGGAAUGUGGCAUCUUUGGAUGUGUUAUAGCCUCUGUUUGUAUACAAUGAUUGGGAUUGAGGAACUCAGUGUGACUUUGGUUUGGAGGUAUUGCACCUCACACACGCACUUAGGAUGCUGGCAUAAUGGCUUUAAUCGACCCGUCUUGAAACACGGACCAAGGAGUCUAACAUGCAUGCGAGUGUUUGGGUGGAAAACUCAAGCGCGCAAUGAAAGUGAAAGUUGAGAACCCCUUUGGGGUGCAUCGACGCCCGGACUUGAUCUUUUGUGACGGACCUGCGGUAGAGCAUGUAUGUUGGGACCCGAAAGAUGGUGAACUAUGCCUGAUAGGGUGAAGUCAGAGGAAACUCUGAUGGAAGCUCGUAGCGAUUCUGACGUGCAAUCGAUCGUCAAUUUGGGUAUAGGGGCGAAAGACUAAUCGAACCAUCUAGUAGCU